Molecule: ribosomal RNA, 253 nt
Filed under: uncultured bacterium
Lineage: Bacteria
Description: partial 16S ribosomal RNA
Rfam family: Bacterial small subunit ribosomal RNA
Source: RNAcentral
CAGAGUUUGAUCAUGGUCAGGACGAACGCUGUCGGCGCGCCUAACACAUGCAAGUCGAACGAAGUUACUUUGAAUGAAUUCUUCGGAAGGAAUUUAAUUUAACUUAGUGGCGGACGGGUGAGUAACGCGUGAGUAACCUGCCUUUCAGAGGGGGAUAACGUCUGGAAACGGACGCUAAUACCGCAUGACAUAUUUGAGCCGCAUGACUUAGAUAUCAAAGGAGCAAUCCGCUGAAAGAUGGACUCGCGUCCAA